RNAcentral lists this long non-coding RNA (220 nucleotides) under Elaeis guineensis (African oil palm). RNAcentral's name for it is "long non-coding RNA (EGUI_LNC009046)". Lineage: Eukaryota; Viridiplantae; Streptophyta; Magnoliopsida; Arecales; Arecaceae. The record is from RNAcentral.
CGACGAGGUGGUGUGCAUAAGAACAUAUUGACUUCAUCAACUAGAUGGAGCAUUGAUUCCUUGAACCUGGAAUAUCAAAAAAUUUUAAAAUUACUACCCUUGAUGUAACUUUCAUUAAAAAAUAAUAAAGAUCAAUUUUUUAUAAAUUGAAAAUACUUUCUCCAUAUUUUCAAUCAUGAAUGAGGCCAACAAAUAUUUUUCAUCCUUGGAUGAGUCGAGC